CUUGGUGAUUUGAGCGGCGAGGGUACACCCGGUCCCAUCCCGAACCCGGCAGUUAAGCUCGCCAGCGCCGAUGGUACUGCCCUGGUAGCGGGGUGGGAGAGUAGGUCAUUGCCAAGG
RNAcentral lists this ribosomal RNA (117 nucleotides) under Chloroflexota bacterium. The record is from RNAcentral. RNAcentral also lists the same sequence under 1 other name. Lineage: Bacteria; Bacillati; Chloroflexota.